This 67-nucleotide transfer RNA is filed under the name Scolytinae sp. BMNH 1043123. RNAcentral's name for it is "tRNA-Pro". Lineage: Eukaryota; Metazoa; Arthropoda; Insecta; Coleoptera; Curculionidae. The record is from RNAcentral.
CAGGAAAUAGUUUAUUACUAAAAUAAUAGUUUUGGAGAUUAUAGAAAAGAAAGUUUCUUUUUCCUGA